Molecule: ribosomal RNA, 423 nt
Filed under: uncultured prokaryote
Description: bacterial SSU rRNA
Rfam family: Bacterial small subunit ribosomal RNA
Source: RNAcentral
UGAGGAAUUUUGGACAAUGGGGGAAACCCUGAUCCAGCGACGCCGCGUGGAGGACGAAGGUCUUCGGAUUGUAAACUCCUUUUAUCUGAGAAUAAGAAACUCCAAGAAAUUGGAGGAGUGAAUGUAUCAGAUGAAUAAGCCACGGCUACCUUCGUGCCAGCAGCCGCGGUAAUACGAAGGUGGCAAGCGUUACUCGGAAUGACUAGGCGUAAAGGGCAGGUAGGUGGUUUGGUAAGUCUGUUGUGAAAGCUCCUGGCUUAACCGGGAGAGGCCAACAGAUACUACUGAACUGGAGUAUGGGAGAGGGUACUGGAAUUCCCGGUGUAGCGGUGAAAUGCGCAGAUAUCGGGAGGAACACCAAUGGCGAAAGCAAGUGCCUGGACCAUUACUGACACUCAGCUGCGAAAGCUAGGGGAGCAAACA